This 64-nucleotide transfer RNA is filed under the name Sulfurimonas sp. UBA12504. RNAcentral's name for it is "tRNA-Leu". It matches the Rfam family "tRNA". From Rfam's summary of the family: Transfer RNA (tRNA) molecules are approximately 80 nucleotides in length. Their secondary structure includes four short double-helical elements and three loops (D, anti-codon, and T loops). The record is from RNAcentral. Lineage: Bacteria; Pseudomonadati; Campylobacterota; Epsilonproteobacteria; Campylobacterales; Sulfurimonadaceae.
GCUCUCGUGGCUCAGGGGUAGAGCACUUCNNAGGUCGGCGGUUCAAAUCCGCUCGUGAGCUCCA